AAAAAUAAUCCACCCAAUUAUCAGUACCAGAACCCUGCAGAUUUCAUUGAAAUACAUCAACCAGCUAGAUUGAACAAGAGUUCACUGUAGCAACUUAUUUGAAGAUAAACCAUCAUAUCAAUCAGACUGUCGUAGGGGACACAAAAAUUUG
Populus euphratica (Euphrates poplar) is the source of this 151-nucleotide long non-coding RNA. RefSeq lists it as uncharacterized. The transcript is spliced from 2 exons. The record is from RefSeq and is a predicted model, not a curated record. Lineage: Eukaryota; Viridiplantae; Streptophyta; Magnoliopsida; Malpighiales; Salicaceae.